This 253-nucleotide ribosomal RNA is filed under the name uncultured bacterium. RNAcentral's name for it is "partial 16S ribosomal RNA". It matches the Rfam family "Bacterial small subunit ribosomal RNA", at positions 524 to 776 of the family's 1533-position model. The record is from RNAcentral.
AACGUAGGGGACAAGCGUUAUCCGGAUUUACUGGGCGUAAAGCGCCCGUAGGCGGCUUGACAAGUUGGACGUGAAAGCUCCUGGCUUAACUGGGAGAGGCCGUUCAAAACUGUCAAGCUAGAGUCUGGAAGAGGAGAGCGGAAUUCCCGGUGUAGUGGUGGAAUGCGUAGAGAUCGGGAGGAACACCAGUGGCGAAAGCGGCUCUCUGGUCCAAAACUGACGCUGAGGGGCGAAAGCGUGGGGAGCGAACGGG